GAGGGUAUAGUUCAAGCGGUAGAGCACAUGCUUAGCAUGCACAAGAUCCUGUGCACAAGGUCCUGGGUUCAAUCCCCAGUACCUCCU
This 87-nucleotide transfer RNA is filed under the name Camelus bactrianus (Bactrian camel). It matches the Rfam family "tRNA". From Rfam's summary of the family: Transfer RNA (tRNA) molecules are approximately 80 nucleotides in length. The record is from Rfam by way of RNAcentral. Lineage: Eukaryota; Metazoa; Chordata; Mammalia; Artiodactyla; Camelidae. RNAcentral also lists the same sequence under 2 other names.